GCCUGGUUGGCUCAGUUGGUAGAGUAUAUAACUUAAUCUCAGGGUCAUGAGUUCAAAUCCCAUGUCUGGCA
This 71-nucleotide transfer RNA is filed under the name Ailuropoda melanoleuca (giant panda). It matches the Rfam family "tRNA". From Rfam's summary of the family: Transfer RNA (tRNA) molecules are approximately 80 nucleotides in length. Their secondary structure includes four short double-helical elements and three loops (D, anti-codon, and T loops). Further hydrogen bonds mediate the characteristic L-shaped molecular structure. tRNAs have two regions of fundamental functional importance: the anti-codon, which is responsible for specific mRNA codon recognition, and the 3' end, to which the tRNAs corresponding amino acid is attached (by aminoacyl-tRNA synthetases). tRNAs cope with the degeneracy of the genetic code in two manners: having more than one tRNA (with a specific anti-codon) for a particular amino acid; and 'wobble' base-pairing, i.e. permitting non-standard base-pairing at the 3rd anti-codon position. Lineage: Eukaryota; Metazoa; Chordata; Mammalia; Carnivora; Ursidae. The record is from Rfam by way of RNAcentral.